UUAGGCGCAAGCUNAACGCAUUAANCAACUCCGCCUGGGAGUACGGUCGCAAAGACUGAAACUNCGAAGGGAAUGAACGGGGGCCCAGCACAAACGUGGAGCAUGUGGUUUAAUUUCGAAAGCAACGCGAAGAACCUUACAGGUCUUGACAUCCCGUUGACCACUGUAGAGAUAUGGUUUUCCCUUCCGGGGACAAACGGUGACAGGUGGUGCAUGGUUGUCGUCAGCUCGUGUCGUGAGAUGUUGGGUUAAGUCACACGCAACGAGCGCAACCCUUGAUCUUAGUUGCCAUCAUUUAGUUGGGCACUCUAAGGUGACUGCCGGUGACAAACCGGAGGAAGGUGGGGAUGACGUCAAAAUCAUCAUGCCCCUUAUGACCUGGGCUACACACGUGCUACAAUGGACGAUACAAACGGUUGCCAACUCGCGAGAGGGAGCUAAUCCGAUAAAGUCGUUCUCAGUUCGGAUUGUAGGCUGCAACUCGCCUACAUGAAGCCGGAAUCGCUAGUAAUCGCGGAUCCGCAUGCCGCGGUGAAUACGUUCCCGGGCUUGUACACACCGCCCGUCACACCACGAGAGUUUGUACACCCGAAGUCGGUGGGGUAACACUUUAUGGAGCCAGCCGCCGAAGGUGGGAUAGAUGAUUGGGGUGAAGUCGUACAACUGUAAACGACUGGCG
This 679-nucleotide ribosomal RNA is filed under the name uncultured bacterium. RNAcentral describes it as "bacterial SSU rRNA". It matches the Rfam family "Bacterial small subunit ribosomal RNA", at positions 841 to 1508 of the family's 1533-position model. The record is from RNAcentral.